AGAGUUUUCCCCCGGCUCAAAACGAACGGAGGCGGCGUGCCUAACACAUGCAAGUCGUGGGGCAGCACGCCACUACCUCUAGGUAGUAGUGCUGGCGACCGGCAAACGGGUGAGUAACACGUAGCUUACCUACCCCAAGGUUGGGGAUAACCUCCCGAAAGGGUGGCUAAUACCCAAUAAUGAGGAAACUCCAAAGCCCAAAAGGCGCCUUGGGAUGGGGCUGCGUCCCAUCAGCUAGUUGGUGAGGUAAUGGCUCACCAAGGCUACUACUUGGUAACCGGUCUGAGAGGAUGACCGGUCACAGUGGGACUGAGACACGGCCCGCACCCCUACGGGGGGCAGCAGUGGGGAAUAUUGGGCAAUGGCCGAAAGGCUGACCCAGCAACGCCGCGUGGUGGACGAAGCCCUUCGGGGUGUAAACACCUUUUCUGGGGGAAGACAAUGACGGUACCCCAGGAAUAAGGGACGGCUAACUACGUGCCAGCAGCCGCGGUAAUACGUAGGUCCCAAACGUUGCGCGAAAUCACUGGGCGUAAAGGGUCCGUAGGCGGUCUGGCAAGUGGAAGGGGAAAUCCUACGGCUCAACCGUAGAAUUUGCCUUCCAAACUGCUGGACUUAAGGCAGGGAGAGGUCGGCGGAUUUCCCGGGGUAGCGGGGAAAUGCGUAAAUUUCGGGAGGAACACCAUUGGGCGAAAGGCGGGCCGAUGGAACUGUCCCUGCCCUGAAGGACAAAAGCUAGGGGAGCAAACCCGGAUUAGAUUACCCCGGUGAUCAAGGCCG
This 780-nucleotide ribosomal RNA is filed under the name uncultured bacterium. RNAcentral describes it as "bacterial SSU rRNA". It matches the Rfam family "Bacterial small subunit ribosomal RNA", at positions 8 to 802 of the family's 1533-position model. The record is from RNAcentral.